UGAUGGUUUGAAAGGAUUUGAGGCAGUCAUCAUCGAAUUCAAAUUCGGUUUCCUUGCACAAUAGUCUGGUUAACGGUCUGGCUAUCUUGGAGAAGUCUUUAAUGAAUCUUCUAUAGAAUCCAGCAUGACCAAGGAAGCUUCUGAUGUCCUUCACCGUUUUUGGUGGCUGCAGCUGCAUCAUCACUUCAACUUUUCCUUUGUCAACCUCUAUACCCUUCUCUGAUAUCUUGUGGCCCAAUACUAUGCCUUCCUUCACCAUGAAAUGACACUUUUCCCAAUUGAGAACAAGAUUCGUCUCUUCGCACCUAGUCAAUACCCUGCCAAGAUUCAACAAACAUGAGGAGAAAGAGGGGCCAUAGACCGAAAAAUCGUCCAUGAAAACCUCCACCAUCUCCUCGAUUAAGUCUGAAAAUAUAGAGGUCAUACACCUCUGAAAUGUUGCAGGAGCAUUGCAUAAACCAAAUGGCAUUCUUUUAUAGGCAAAAGUUCCAUAAGGACACGUGAAAGUGGUUUUUUCUUGAUCAUUAGGGUGAAUUGGUAUUUGAAAGAAACCACUGUAUCCAUCAAGAAAGCAAUAAUAUGGAUGAUUAGCCAAACGUUCAAGCAUUUGGUCAAUGAAUGGUAAAGGAAAAUGAUCUUUCCUAGAUGCAGCGUUCAACUUCCUAUAAUCUAUGCACAUUCUAUGACCAGUUAUAGUUCUAGUAGGGAUCAGUUCAUCUUUUUCAUUUUUGACAACAGUCAUUCCACCCUUUUUAGGGACGCAAUGCACUGGAGAAACCCAAGUACUAUCAGAGAUAGGGUAGAUAACACCAGCAUCAAGCAGUUUCAAAAUUUCUUUUUUCACUACUUCUUUCAAAUUGGGAUUUAACCUCCUCUGUGGUUCAAUGCUGGAAUAGGAUUCGUUUUCAAGAUGGUUCAAAUUUCCCUUAAUGUCGGAUAACGAAUAACCAAUUGCUCUCCUAUACUUUCUAAGCUCAGAUAAUAGCAGGUUCACUUCAUCACUAUUUAACUCAGCAUUAAUGAUCACAGGGUAAGUAGAGUUUGGACCAAGGAACGCGUACCUUAGACCUUUUGGAAGCGGUUUGAGAUCAACCUUUGGUGCCUUAAGUUCAGACCAGUCAUCUGAAGUUGGAAUGAUCGGCUCCCUAGGUUCGUCGGUAGACAAGGUCGAGUGGUUGCUUGAGUACGUCCUCGAGAGUGCAGGUUGAACUCGAGUUGACCCUUCUUCGCUUAUUACCAUUACCUCUGUUGCUGGUCCAUUCAAUUCCUCAAAGGGUUCCGAUUCUUCCAUCGCUUUAUGGGAGUCUAACAGCUUCUGGUAUCCCAAUGUUUCCAAAUGCAGAAACCCAUCUUCACCACUUUUGGUUAAAGCACUGUUAAGAUGAUCUUCUUCUGCCAGCUCUUCCAGUAACUCAUCAGCUAACUGAUCCAUUUCUUCGAUCCAAAAGAGUUGCCCUUCUAUGGUAGGCUUCUUCAUCGCGUCUUUGACAUCAAAGGUCAUUCUAAAGUCUUUGCCAAGGUUCAGAUCAAUCUUCCCUUUCUUGACAUCAAUCAUAGCUCCUGCAGUGGCUAAGAAAGGUCUCCCUAGAAUCAACGGGUCCUUGGGCUCUUCAUCCAUCUCCAGGACUACAAAGUCAGUUGGUAUCUCCACAGCACCGAUCCUGAUUGGGAGGUUUUCGAGCAAACCAUGAGGAAUCCUUACUGAUCUGUCAGCUAGGAUGAGGGAUAUAUUGCAGGACUUGUAUUGAGUGAACCCCAAUCUUUUGGCGACAGAUAGCGGCAUGAGACUGACUGAUGCUCCUAAAUCGCAUAGGCAUCUGUUGAAAGCCAAUGGACCUAAAGAGCACGGUAGAGUGAACGAACCAGGAUCACUAAGCUUCUUAGGAAUGAUCUUCUUCUGUAUGAUAGCGCUGCAUUCAUGACUCAAUACCACCAUCCCUUGCACUUCUUGAAUUCUCUCCACAAUCAAGUCUUUCAGAAACUUGUGAGAGUCUGGGAUUAGCGCUAGGGCGUCAACAAGAGGUAUCCGCAACUCAACCUCCUUAAUGUUCUUGGCAAACAUAGCUCUAUAUUUGUCUGCCAACGCUUUCUUGUGACGGCCAGGAAAUGGAAGCUGCGGUUUGUAGGGAGGAGGGACAAAGACCUUUUCUUUGUUUUUGACAACAACUGGCCUUGGAGCAGUUGGUGAUGCUGCUGGGAUGACAGGUCGAGUGGUCGGUCGAGUAAUGCUGUCAAGUGGUUGCUCGAGUGGCUGGUCGAGUGGUUUGUCAGCUUGAUCUUUCUCGAGACUUAAAUCCUCCCCAUCUUGAUCUUCACUGUCCUCAGUGACCGUGUUGGGUUCCUCCCUAGUUGGAAGUGCUUUUCCACUACGCAAGGUGAUAGCAUGAGCAUAUUCUUUUGGAUUCUGAACUACUUUGCCUGGUAGUUGGCUUGUCUGUUUUGGAGCUGAAGAAGAUGCAGAAUGUCCCUCUAAGUAACGGACUUUGGUAUUCAGUGUUUCCAUCUUAACAUUGAGAUCAUUGUAGCUACAGUCCAGCUUGUUAUGUAACUCAGAUAUCUUCUUUGCCAUCUCCAUGGAGCCAGAGGCUUGCCCGUGAAGUAGCUGUUGUAGCAUCUAUUUCAUAUCAGCGUCAGCAGCAGCAGGACCUUGGCUUUGCUGAGGUGCAAACCCUGGUGGUGGUGGUUGCUGGUAAUUUCCCUGGAAUUGCUGCUUAGGACCGAAAACCUUGGUUGUAGGGAACAAAAGGUUUGUUCUGACUUUGUUGUUGCUGUGGAGGAUACACCUGAUCCUGAGGGUUAGCAACGUUGGUGCUGCGGUAGGAAAGGUUGGGGUUGUUGGUUUUGAAGUUGUUGUAUCCUUUGUAGCCACCCUGGUUGUUGUUGAUGUAGCUUACUUCUUCCAACUGGUUACCCUCCCCAUCUUGGACUUGAUAUUGCUCGUCAUCAACAAGGAAGUGCACAUGCUUCUGCUGGCUAAAAAGAAUCUUGUCCAGCUUGUCAUUCAGCGCUUUGAUCUCCUUCCUGUGUUUGUCAUCAGAGUCAGCUGUUCCUCUGACGGUCCUAUCACAGUCUUCGUUGUAAUUUCCAUCUGAUUGAGCAAGGUUCUCAACCAAUUCCCAGCCUUCUUCAACAUCCUUGUUCUGAAAAUUCCCAUUGCUGGCGGUAUCCAGAAGCAUUCUGAUGCGUGGUAGGACUCCUCUGUAAAGAGUGCUGAGCAGAGAGGCUUUAGUAAAGCCAUGAUGAGGGCAUUGGUUGGUGUAACCCUUGAAACGCUCCCAUGCUUCACAGAAGCUUUCACCAGUCUUCUGUGAGAAACCAGAAAUCUCAUUUCUGAGUCUUGCAGUUCUGGCAUUGU
RNAcentral lists this small RNA (3355 nucleotides) under Arabidopsis thaliana (thale cress). RNAcentral describes it as "ATSL203390". The stretch from base 3232 to 3338 matches the Rfam family "Plant small nucleolar RNA R71". The record is from RNAcentral. Lineage: Eukaryota; Viridiplantae; Streptophyta; Magnoliopsida; Brassicales; Brassicaceae.